GUGAGGAAUUUUCCGCAAUGGGCGAAAGCCUGACGGAGCAAUGCCGCGUGAAGGAUGAAGGCCUAUGGGUUGUAAACUUCUUUUCUCAGAAAAGAAUUAUGACGGUAUCUGAGGAAUAAGCAUCGGCUAACUCUGUGCCAGCAGCCGCGGUAAGACAGAGGAUGCAAGCGUUAUCCGGAAUGAUUGGGCGUAAAGCGUCUGUAGGUUGUUUAAAAAGUAUUCUGUCAAAGAUUAGGGCUUAACCCUAGAUAGGCAGAAUAAACUUUUAAGAUAGAGUUUGGUAGAGGCAGAGGGAAUUCCCGGUGGAGCGGUGAAAUGCGUAGAUAUCGGGAGGAACACCAAAGGCGAAGGCACUCUGCUGGGCCAAUACUAACACUGAGAGACGAAAGCGAGGGGAGCAAAUGGGAUUAGAAACCCUGGUAGUCC
This 426-nucleotide ribosomal RNA is filed under the name uncultured bacterium. RNAcentral's name for it is "partial 16S ribosomal RNA". It matches the Rfam family "Bacterial small subunit ribosomal RNA", at positions 354 to 796 of the family's 1533-position model. The record is from RNAcentral.